Molecule: ribosomal RNA, 442 nt
Filed under: uncultured bacterium
Lineage: Bacteria
Description: partial 16S ribosomal RNA
Rfam family: Bacterial small subunit ribosomal RNA
Source: RNAcentral
CCUACGGGUGGCCGCAGUGGGGAAUAUUGGACAAUGGGCGGAACCCUGAUCCAGCGACGCCGCGUGCAUGAAGAAGUAUCUCGGACUGUAAAGCUCUAUUAGCACGGAAGAAAGAACUGACGGUACCUGACCAAGAAGCCCCGCCUAACUACGUGCCAGCAGCCUCGGUAAUACGUAGGGGGCAAGCUUUAUCCGGAUUUACUGGGUGUAAAGGUAGCGGAGACGUUAAUGAAAGUCUGGAGUGAAUGCAGGGGCUCAACCCCUGAACUGCGUUGGAAACUGUAUGACUGGAGAGCAGGAGAGGUAAGUGGAAUGCAUGGUGUAGCGGUGAAAUGCUUAGAUAUCAUGAGGAACACCAGUGGCGAAGGCGGCUUACUGGACUGUAACUGACGUUGAGGCUCGAAAGCGUGGGGAGCAAACAGGAUUAGAUACCCGGGUAGUC